AGACGACUGUGGGACACACAACCUUGCGUGAGAUAACUCGCCAACUGGACUGAUUGAUUGUUAAAAAUAUUUUCAACUGAUCCUUCACUUACCCGCCCCCUCAGAGAGCCCGCACUGUCGGCGCACAGAAACAGCGAUGACCUCUGACCUUUAAUGGCGAUGUGGCCCGGCUGCACCGACUGUAACUGCAGCACACCUGUGAACGUUCAUGCACAAACGUGAAGGUCUCCAAUGAUUCAUGAAUCCAUUCAUUUUUUUUAGCAGAGAUUCAAACGCUGAGUUGCGAAAGGCAACACUUACCGUAAGGAGUCUGAACGUCGCUACCAGACACGCUUCCAUCCUGGCUUAUCUGUAAGUACAUUCCUCGUCUGUGAUUUUCUGCAAAAGUAAGAAGCCAAAACAAAUAAGCCUGACCGUACCAUGCUGUGUAUCAAAUUGGGCCUCAUCUGAAAUACUGUACCUGUGUAAAGAUGCACCUCCCUGACUUGACCGUUAAAGGCUAAAAGUGGGUUGGAGUCAGCAAGAUAGAAACACAAAGAGACGCGAAGUAGGAUUGCAAGGAGAAAAAAGUACCCAAAAGUCUUGUUUGCCGACCAAAACAUUUGGAGACAGAGAAAAUGUCACAGUUACUGUACUCUUGAUAAAUAAAAUAAUAAAUAUAAAUACAAAAAUAAUUUAUAAAUAAAUUACAAAGAAUAAGGCAAGAAGAACAAACUUAAAUAAGAAAUAUUGUGGCUCCUGGAAUGUAAGUUCUGGCUUUUAAAACCAAAGAACUUUGUGCGUUUAUAAAGGAGCCGGAGGAGGGUCCAUCAUGACUCACUUAUAAAGUGAUUUAAUGCUGAGCGGAACUUCUACGUCUAUAUUUGGCCCUUUUCCUUGUUUGGAUUUCUGAAGAAGAUUCAGUAUCCGUAAAAACACUUGUGCAGCAUGUUUUAUUCAACAUAUUUCUUCAUUUUAUCAAAACCAUUUUACUGGAUUUUGUUUUAACACAUACACUAGAGUUGACAGAAUGAUUUUAUCGUUUGUUGUCUGCAACGAGUAAAGAAAAGUCUUCUUUAUACAACAGUAGGAGAAUAUAGCACGAGACCCAAAAGCAAAAAAACAGCUUGUGUCUCUGGGAUUUCCAGAAGUUGUCACCAAGUGCAUUAGUGACCAGGAGAUGGCGACAGCGAGGCGCCUGAAGACAAUGUACUGUUCUGUAAUAAUAUAUGUUGCCGUAAUUUAUGGCACGGGAUGUAUUUUUAUUCUGUGCCCUGAAAGCAAACAUUUCCAGGGUAAGCCAAAGCAGUCACCAUAAAAGGCCGUUGGGUGGCGCCAGUGUGCAAAGUGCGGCUCGCCCAGCAAGUGUAGAAGAAGGUUGUCUUGGAUUGGGGACGUGACGUCAGGCAUUCAGAGAGGAGUUAUCAAAUACAGGUGAAGCAAGAUGGCGGACGACAGUGGCAUUCUCUCAGGAUUUCCGUCCUUGGAGGACGCAGUAGCGUUUGAGGUUUGAGCACACUCGCGGUGCCUCCCUCCACCUGUCGGAUCACCAGCUUCCUGACCAACUGGAGACAGCAUGUGAGGCUGGAGACCAUUACAUCCGACACCCGGACCACCCAUACUGGCGUCCUC
Syngnathus acus (greater pipefish) is the source of this 1611-nucleotide long non-coding RNA. RefSeq lists it as uncharacterized. Lineage: Eukaryota; Metazoa; Chordata; Actinopteri; Syngnathiformes; Syngnathidae. The record is from RefSeq and is a predicted model, not a curated record. The transcript is spliced from 3 exons.